Molecule: ribosomal RNA, 210 nt
Filed under: uncultured bacterium
Lineage: Bacteria
Description: partial 16S ribosomal RNA
Rfam family: Bacterial small subunit ribosomal RNA
Source: RNAcentral
CACGGACCGCACGAACGUUAUUCGGUAUCACUGGGCUUAAAGGGUGCGUAGGCGGCUUUGCAAGUUGGGUGUGAAAGCCCUCGGCUCAACCGAGGAAUUGCGCUCAAUACUGCCGAGCUCGAGAGAGACAGAGGUAAGCGGAACUAAUGGUGGAGCGGUGAAAUGCGUUGAUAUACAUUAGGAACACCGGUGGCGAAGGCGGCUUACUGG